GCCAAACCUGUGUUUUUGUAUAUAAAAUAAACAUUUUAUAAAUUUCAUUAGAAUGAACAAAAUUUAAGGAAAAGACUUUUUUUUUUUUUCCUGAGAAGACUUACCAAGGCGGCUCCAAGAAAUGAUUGGUUUGGGAUUUCCUGUGGCCAUGCAUUCCAAAACUACAGUCUGAUGAAGAGAUGUUGUUAUGUUCUGUGGACCUGCUAUAAUUGUUGCCUUAAAGGAUAUGUUAGAAACCAGUAUCUCUUGUGAAGAAUAAACAUUUAUGUGAAGUUCAACAAUGUCUUCAGUCCAGCAGAGGAGAAGAAGUAACAACUGCGCCAAUAAAACGUCAUAAAAAUGGAAAAACCACUCUGCGUGGUACCUGGAAUCACAGUUAGCGAGGCCUCCAUACUUUUACGUCGGUGGGCUACAGUGGCAGCAAUACAACGAUAAUUUCCAGAAUCCCUUUGGCUGACAUCAUAGAUCUGCAAUACUCCUGUUGGUAGGGCAAUGGAGUUUCACUCUUGUUGCCCCGGCUGGAGUGCAAUGGCAUGAUCUCAGCUCACUGGAACGUCUGUCUCCAGGGUUCAAGCGAUUCUCCCGCCUCAGCCUACCAAGCAGCUGGGAUUACAGGAUGUUUAUCUGCAAACAUUUUAAUUUUGGAUCUAAACCUAUGGACCAUCCCCUGCUGUUUAUCUACUAAAGAAUUAGGAAACAGAUGGCUAGAUUCACCUUUAAAAUAUCAGCUUCACAUUCAGGCAGAACAACCUGAUUUCUCAAUAAUCAGUCAGUGUUAACGUAAACCAAGAGCCCCACAAGAAGUCAUUAAAGCUGUGCUGUUAAGAGGCCAGAGCUCUAUAAAAUAGGCAAGAAACAAGGUCUUGAGAAACAUGCGCUGUCCUCAAAAACAACCUUGCAAACACAAUAAAUCUGAUCCUUGACCUUGCCUCUGUCUCAAGCUGCUGUCCUCAAGGGUAGAGAUCAUUGGAAAACCAAUGUAAUUUUGCAGUUUCUCCCCAUUUCUGGAAUCUGGGCAGACCUUGACCUUGCCAGCAGAAUGAGAUGGAAGAUCAUGCUAAUUCCAUACCAGGUCCUUGAGAAGCGCUGUUUGAUGCCACCCACUCUCCUGGAACUUGCCAAAGACAUGUGAACAAACUCAGGACAGCCUGCUGGAUGGGGAAAGACAUGGUCCAAUCUUUCCUUUCACCCCAACCAACAACCAACUAUGUGACUGAGAUCAUCCAGCCAACAUUCUCCUUCACCAGCAAGCCUAUCAGCUGAUUGUAUACACACGAGAUAUUGCCCCAAUUUUAAAAAAUUGCUCAAUGAAUGUGGAUGUAAAUAAAAAAAAGUUAUACAAGUAGAUGACAACCCUCAGGUGACUGUUACACAAGUGAGGUUCCCAGAAGGAAACAAUCUAGGAAGGAACUGAAAUGGUUAAGCAGAAGCCAAAUGAUUCUGGAGCUAGGGCUUGAAUUGGGUCAAAUUAAAAUGAAGCAAUGAAGGCAUCCCCAGGCCUCAAAGUAACCUCUUCAAUCACAGAACUGCAUCCUAGCCUUUUAAAUAAAGUGAAUAAGC
RNAcentral lists this long non-coding RNA (1560 nucleotides) under Homo sapiens (human). RNAcentral's name for it is "long non-coding RNA NONHSAT170833.1". Lineage: Eukaryota; Metazoa; Chordata; Mammalia; Primates; Hominidae. The record is from RNAcentral.